CACUCAUGAGUGCUGGGACAAAAGCAAAAGAAAGCAGCUCAUAGUGGACAAGCAUGAACAUGAUGCCUAUCCUGUUUCCUUUUUUAGCUUUUCAUCUUUUCCAUCCUACAAUCCCACCUCUCAAUUGAACCCACUGUCUUAGAUGCUAAGCAAUUAUAAUCAUUUGGAGAUUGUCCAUUUUUAUAUCAUAGGCAUCUCUCUCUCUCUCCCUCUCUCUCUCUCUCUCUCUCUCAAGUUGAUGGUAGUUUCAAGUUUGAGUUCUGAUGAAAAUACAACUCCAACUAGUUCUGAAGCAAGUCAUGGCAUGGUAAUUCAAAUAGAGCGAGCAGAGAGAGACUAUACCCUUAUCAUCUGUACUCCUGGCGGCGUCGGCGCAAUACAAUUGCACCUCUUUAGUGUGCUCUUGUUAUGCACCGGCAAGGCACCCAAACCACAAGGGUGAGGACCACAGUAGAAGCAAGAAUAGCAACAGCAGCAGCAACAGCAACAAGCAGUCCGGUGCAAGAAACAAAGAUGGAGUCCUUGAAAAGACCGAUGGUAAUAAUGAAUCAGAAGAUCAAGAUAAGAGCAAUGGUUGCAGCAACAGUAGUAGCAAUGAGCCCCAUGGACCUCUCACAGUACCCCAUCCUCUCAAGAGUAAUCUCAAGAAAACUAUAAAGGUGGACAAGUCUCAACUGAGUAAUGGGAAGAGGAAAGUUAGUUGGCCAGAUGCCCAUGGAAAGGAUCUUGCUCAUGUUCAAGAAUUCGAGGCCAGUGUAUCUGAGGAAGGGGAACUUGAGGGAGUGCAGAAUUCUUGCAUCUGUGCUAUUCAAUAAAAAAAGAAGAGGUUUAAGGUGACAGUCAUUUAGGUCCAAUCUCAAACAUCUCUCUGUGAAGAUCUCUACUUGCAGGUGUGAUACAGAUCAAUCUCAACCAUGUAGAAUCCUUUAGUUUUUUUUUUUUUUUUUCAUCCAAUUGAGAAUUACAUACAAGUUCAUUCAGGCAAACAGCCAUGUAAUAGAAAAUGAAUGCAUUUACUCUA
Nelumbo nucifera (sacred lotus) is the source of this 1021-nucleotide long non-coding RNA. RefSeq lists it as uncharacterized. Lineage: Eukaryota; Viridiplantae; Streptophyta; Magnoliopsida; Proteales; Nelumbonaceae. The record is from RefSeq and is a predicted model, not a curated record.